This 880-nucleotide ribosomal RNA is filed under the name Flexivirga aerilata. RNAcentral describes it as "Flexivirga sp. ID2601S partial 23S ribosomal RNA". It matches the Rfam family "Bacterial large subunit ribosomal RNA", at positions 2055 to 2925 of the family's 2925-position model. The record is from RNAcentral. Lineage: Bacteria; Bacillati; Actinomycetota; Actinomycetes; Micrococcales; Dermacoccaceae.
AAAGAUGCUCGUUACGCGCAGCAGGACGGAAAGACCCCGGGACCUUUACUACAGCUUGGUAUUGGUGUUCGGUACGGCUUGUGUAGGAUAGGUGGGAGACUGUGAAGCGCACGCGCCAGCGUGUGUGGAGUCAUUGUUGAAAUACCACUCUGGUCGUUCUGGGCUCCUAACUUCGGACCAUGAUCUGGUUCAGGGACAGUGCCUGGUGGGUAGUUUAACUGGGGCGGUUGCCUCCCAAAAGGUAACGGAGGCGCCCAAAGGUUCCCUCAGCCUGGUUGGUAAUCAGGUGUCGAGUGUAAGUGCACAAGGGAGCUUGACUGUGAGACAGACAUGUCGAGCAGAGACGAAAGUCGGGACUAGUGACCCGACGGUGGCUUGUGGAAGCGCCGUCGCUCAACGGACAAAAGGUACCCCGGGGAUAACAGGCUGAUCUUGCCCAAGAGCUCAUAUCGACGGCAUGGUUUGGCACCUCGAUGUCGGCUCGUCGCAUCCUGGGGCUGGAGUAGGUCCCAAGGGUUGGGCUGUUCGCCCAUUAAAGCGGUACGCGAGCUGGGUUUAGAACGUCGUGAGACAGUUCGGUCCCUAUCCGCUGCGCGCGUAGGAAACUUGAGAAGACCUGUCCCUAGUACGAGAGGACCGGGAUGGACGAACCACUGGUGUGUCAGUUGUCCUGCCAAGGGCACCGCUGAUUAGCUACGUUCGGAAGUGAUAACCGCUGAAAGCAUCUAAGUGGGAAGCACGCUUCAAGAUGAGGUUUCCAACACACAUUUUGUGUGGGGAGGCUCCCAGCGAGACUACUGGGUCGAUAGGCCGGAUGUGGAAGCACAGUAAUGUGUGGAGCUGACCGGUACUAAUCAGCCGACAACUUAUUCAAACCCCA